This 1515-nucleotide ribosomal RNA is filed under the name Triticum aestivum (bread wheat). Its description in RNAcentral is "partial small subunit ribosomal RNA". Lineage: Eukaryota; Viridiplantae; Streptophyta; Magnoliopsida; Poales; Poaceae. The record is from RNAcentral.
AUGGUCGGGUCGGGGUCGAAGCAUGCCGCGGGCGGGAGCGGCCUCGGCGGCGGAGGGGAGAGGCGCAAGUACCCGAUCCGCGCCGAGGACUACGAGCUGUACGAGGAGAUCGGGCAGGGCGUCAGCGCCAUCGUCUACCGCGCGCUCUGCAGGCCGCUCGGCGAGACCGUCGCCGUCAAGGUGCUCGACUUCGAGCGCACCAACAGCAACCUGAACAAUAUCAUGCGUGAAGCCCAGACAAUGAUUCUUAUAGACCAUCCUAAUGUUGUUAAGGCGAUCUGUUCAUUUGCAAAUAACCAAACGUUAUGGGUAGUUAUGCCGUACAUGGCUGGAGGAUCUUGUCUUCACAUAAUGAAAUCAGUCUAUCCGGAUGGUUUCGAGGAAGCUGUCAUUGCAACACUGCUCCGUGAAGUUCUAAGAGGAUUGGAAUAUCUUCAUCAUCAUGGGCAUAUACAUCGUGAUGUCAAGGCGGGAAAUAUCCUAGUUGAUUCUCGUGGUGGAGUUAAGCUUGGAGAUUUUGGGGUUUCUGCUUGCCUUUUUGAAUCUGGUGACAGACAGCGGGCUAGAAACACUUUCGUGGGAACUCCUUGCUGGAUGGCACCAGAGGUAAUGGAGCAACUACAUGGAUAUGAUUUCAAGGCAGACAUAUGGUCCUUUGGAAUUACCGCACUUGAACUUGCCCAUGGUCACGCUCCUUUCUCAAAGUACCCUCCCAUGAAGGUCUUGCUUAUGACACUUCAAAAUGCUCCCCCCGGUCUUGAUUAUGAAAGAGAUAAGAAAUUCUCAAGGCACUUCAAGCAAAUGGUAGCUAUGUGUUUGGUAAAAGAGCCUUCAAAAAGGCCGACUGCAACAAAAUUGCUCAAGCAAUCCUUUUUCAAGCAAGCUCGUUCCCAUGAUUACAUUGUUCGAAAGCUUUUGGAGGGAUUGCCUGGCCUUGGCGCUAGAUAUCAAGCUUUGAAGGAAAAGGAUGAACAUUUACUUGCUCAAAAGAAAAUGCCUGAUGGUAGAAAGGAAGAAAUCUCGCAGGGGGUUGAUUCAGUGAGCAGGCUUUCCAAAUUUCGUUCUCUGCAUCAUUUGAUAUUAAACUGGACUAUUUCUGACUCUGCACGCGGGACAACUGAUAUCCUCGACCUUGGUUGUCUCCUAGAGGCUGCCCCUUCCAUGGAGAAACUAGAAUUGCAUAUGGUAACGGACCAUUUCCUACACAAGCGGUACCGUCAAGAAGACGGCGAGCUGAGGAGUCUCCCUUCAUGCCCGCACUCACAUCUCAGUUUGGUGCAUAUAAGCGGAUUCAUCGGCGAGAAAGAUCAACUGGAGCUGGCGCUUCAUAUUAUCCACAAUGCUACUGUUCUCGAAGCAUUGAAGAUUGAUCCAUGGCCGAGAACAGCUAACCCUGUACGAGCGCGCGUCAAGUCGGAAAACCGUCUUGCCAAUGGUCGGAGUGUUGCAUUGGAAUUUCUUUGCAAAGAUGACCACCGCAGUGUCGUCAGCGUACUUGAAGAUGUGGGGGAGUAG